This 301-nucleotide ribosomal RNA is filed under the name uncultured bacterium. RNAcentral describes it as "partial 16S ribosomal RNA". It matches the Rfam family "Bacterial small subunit ribosomal RNA", at positions 509 to 809 of the family's 1533-position model. The record is from RNAcentral.
CAGUAGCCGCGGUAAUACGUAGGUGGCAAGCGUUGUCCGGAAUUAUUGGGCGUAAAGGGCUCGCAGGCGGUUUCUUAAGUCUGAUGUGAAAGCCCCCGGCUCAACCGGGGAGGGUCAUUGGAAACUGGGAAACUUGAGUGCAGAAGAGGAGAGUGGAAUUCCACGUGUAGCGGUGAAAUGCGUAGAGAUGUGGAGGAACACCAGUGGCGAAGGCGACUCUCUGGUCCGUAACUGACGCUGAGGAGCGAAAGCGUGGGGAGCGAACAGGAUUAGAGACCCCAGUAGUCCCUGUCUCUUAUAA